This 1372-nucleotide ribosomal RNA is filed under the name uncultured bacterium. RNAcentral's name for it is "bacterial SSU rRNA". It matches the Rfam family "Bacterial small subunit ribosomal RNA", at positions 28 to 1381 of the family's 1533-position model. The record is from RNAcentral.
GAUGAACGCUGGCGGCGUGCCUAAUACAUGCAAGUCGAGCGAACGGACGAGAAGCUUGCUUCUCUGAUGUUAGCGGCGGACGGGUGAGUAACACGUGGAUAACCUACCUAUAAGACUGGGAUAACUUCGGGAAACCGGAGCUAAUACCGGAUAAUAUUUUGAACCGCAUGGUUCAAAAGUGAAAGACGGUCUUGCUGUCACUUAUAGAUGGAUCCGCGCUGCAUUAGCUAGUUGGUAAGGUAACGGCUUACCAAGGCAACGAUGCAUAGCCGACCUGAGAGGGUGAUCGGCCACACUGGAACUGAGACACGGUCCAGACUCCUACGGGAGGCAGCAGUAGGGAAUCUUCCGCAAUGGGCGAAAGCCUGACGGAGCAACGCCGCGUGAGUGAUGAAGGUCUCCGGAUUGUAAAACUCUGUUAUUAGGGAAGAACAUAUGUGUAAGUAACUGUGCACAUCUUGACGGUACCUAAUCAGAAAGCCACGGCUAACUACGUGCCAGCAGCCGCGGUAAUACGUAGGUGGCAAGCGUUAUCCGGAAUUAUUGGGCGUAAAGCGCGCGUAGGCGGUUUUUUAAGUCUGAUGUGAAAGCCCACGGCUCAACCGUGGAGGGUCAUUGGAAACUGGAAAACUUGAGUGCAGAAGAGGAAAGUGGAAUUCCAUGUGUAGCGGUGAAAUGCGCAGAGAUAUGGAGGAACACCAGUGGCGAAGGCGACUUUCUGGUCUGUAACUGACGCUGAUGUGCGAAAGCGUGGGGAUCAAACAGGAUUAGAUACCCUGGUAGUCCACGCCGUAAACGAUGAGUGCUAAGUGUUAGGGGGUUUCCGCCCCUUAGUGCUGCAGCUAACGCAUUAAGCACUCCGCCUGGGGAGUACGACCGCAAGGUUGAAACUCAAAGGAAUUGACGGGGACCCGCACAAGCGGUGGAGCAUGUGGUUUAAUUCGAAGCAACGCGAAGAACCUUACCAAAUCUUGACAUCCUUUGACAACUCUAGAGAUAGAGCUUUCCCCUUCGGGGGACAAAGUGACAGGUGGUGCAUGGUUGUCGUCAGCUCGUGUCGUGAGAUGUUGGGUUAAGUCCCGCAACGAGCGCAACCCUUAAGCUUAGUUGCCAUCAUUAAGUUGGGCACUCUAAGUUGACUGCCGGUGACAAACCGGAGGAAGGUGGGGAUGACGUCAAAUCAUCAUGCCCCUUAUGAUUUGGGCUACACACGUGCUACAAUGGACAAUACAAAGGGCAGCGAAACCGUGAGGUCAAGCAAAUCCCAUAAAGUUGUUCUCAGUUCGGAUUGUAGUCUGCAACUCGACUACAUGAAGCUGGAAUCGCUAGUAAUCGUAGAUCAGCAUGCUACGGUGAAUACGUUCCCGGGUCU